Molecule: ribosomal RNA, 1001 nt
Filed under: Triticum aestivum (bread wheat)
Lineage: Eukaryota; Viridiplantae; Streptophyta; Magnoliopsida; Poales; Poaceae
Description: partial small subunit ribosomal RNA
Source: RNAcentral
CCGGAACCAGGAACAAAAAACCAAAACAGGUUACAGAGAAGUUACAAGAGCUGUCCUAAAAUUUACAGAGAAGUUACAAUGGAUUCAGCACGGCCUUGUUGUCUUGCAAUCAUCGUUGGUGGUUACAGAGAAGUUACAAGAGUUGUCCUAAAAUUUACCCAAGGACCCCUAGAAACUAAAAAUGAAAAUCAAUCAAGUCCUCCAUGUCCUCCAUCACAGCAACAUGUACUUCACCACCGGCCUUCCUUCUUCUCGCCAUGUGCUCGCUGGAUCCUGGAGAGAGAGGGGGGGCACUGUUGCGCGCCAGUGCAGCGUCGGGCGGCUGAUGCCGGAGGGAGGAGGCCACCGCGCGGAGGAGGGAGGACGCCGCCGCGCGCCCGAGGGAGGAGGUCGCCGCGCGCCGAAGGGACGAGCCGCCGCGCGCCCGAGGGACGAGGCCGCCACGCGCCCGAGGGAGGAGGACGCCGCGCACCGGAGGGAGGAGGCCGCCGCGCGCUGGAGGGAGGAGGCUGCCGUGCAGAGGAGGGAGGACGCCGCCGCGCGCCGGAGGGAGGAGGCCGCCGCGCGCCGGAGGGAGGAGGCCGCCGCGCGCCGGAGGGAGGAGGCCGCCGCGCGCCCGAGGGACGAGGCCGCCACGCGCCCGAGGGAGGAGGACGCCGCGCACCGGAGGGAGGAGGCCGCCGCGCGCUGGAGGGAGGAGGCCGCCGUGCGCCUGUGCUCGCCACCCGCGGGUCCGCCAUGCUCGCUGCCCGCGCGGCUGGGGGCAGGCAGGAGCGACGGGGGCUGGGGACGAAGGUAGGCAGGGGCGACGGAUGAUGAGCCGAGGCCAGCGGCCGGUGGCGGCGACGGGGGACUCGCGCCGGGGGCCGGUGGGGGCGACGGGGGACUCGCGCCGGGGCCGGCAGGGGUGAUGGGGUCGGGGACGGCGAGGCAGAGGCCAGGAGGAGAGAUGGCCACGGGUCGUGCGAGGCAGAGGUGUUGGGGCGUGGGGGAGAGAGACG